GGAUUAGAUACCCUGGUAGUCCACGCCGUAAACGAUGUCUACUAGCCGUUGGGGGACUUGAUCUCUUAGUGGCGCAGCUAACGCGAUAAGUAGACCGCCUGGGGAGUACGGUCGCAAGGCUAAAACUCAAAGGAAUUGACGGGGGCCCGCACAAGCGGUGGAGUAUGUGGUUUAAUUCGAAGCAACGCGCAGAACCUUACCUGGCCUUACCAUCCCUUGACAUCCUGAGAAGUUAGCAGAGAUGCUUUCGUGCCUUCGGGAACGCAGUGACAGGUGCUGCAUGGCUGUCGUCAGCUCGUGCCG
Molecule: ribosomal RNA, 303 nt
Filed under: uncultured bacterium
Lineage: Bacteria
Description: bacterial SSU rRNA
Rfam family: Bacterial small subunit ribosomal RNA
Source: RNAcentral